RNAcentral lists this ribosomal RNA (747 nucleotides) under uncultured marine dictyochophyte. RNAcentral describes it as "bacterial SSU rRNA". It matches the Rfam family "Bacterial small subunit ribosomal RNA", at positions 546 to 1308 of the family's 1533-position model. Lineage: Eukaryota; Dictyochophyceae. The record is from RNAcentral.
CGGAAUCACUGGGCGUAAAGCGUCUGUAGGUGGUUUAGUAAGUCUAUUGUUAAAGCUUGAGGCUCAACUUCAAAUCAGCGAUGGAAACUGCUAGACUAGAGUGUGGUAGAGGUAAGAGGAAUUUCCAGUGGAGCGGUGAAAUGCGUAGAUAUUGGAAAGAACACCGAUGGCGAAGGCAUCUUACUGGGCCAUAACUGACACUCAGAGACGAAAGCUAGGGUAGCAAAUGGGAUUAGAUACCCCAGUAGUCCUAGCAGUAAACGAUGGAUACUAGAUGUUGCCCGUAUCAACCCGUGCAGUGUCAAAGCUAACGCGUUAAGUAUCCCGCCUGGGAAGUAUGCACGCAAGUGUGAAACUCAAAGGAAUUGACGGGGGCCCGCACAAGCGGUGGAGCAUGUGGUUUAAUUUGAUGCAACGCGAAGAACCUUACCAGGGUUUGACAUGACAUGAAUUUUUCUGAGAAGAAAGAGUGCCUUUUAGGAACAUGUACACAGGAGGUGCAUGGCUGUCGUCAGCUCGUGUCGUGAGACGUUGGGUUAAGUCCCGCAACGAGCGCAACCCUUGUUUUUAGUUAUUUUUCUAGAAAGACUGCCGGUUAUAAGCCGGAGGAAGGCGGGGACGACGUCAAGUCAGCAUGCCCCUUAUACCCUGGGCUACACACGUGCUACAUUGGGUAAGACAAUGAGUCGCGAGCCUGUGAAGGUCAGCAAAUCUAUAAACUUACUCUAAGUUCGGAUUGUAGGCUGC